CGUGGCAUAAUGUGUUAAGUAACCGGAGUUGCAAACAUCAUGACAGGUUAAUCUUUGAAUGCAAAUUGCGCUAAACUCGAUCUCGGUCGAGAAGCAUGGGUGUGACAGUACUACAUCUUUUAUAAUAAUUCUUAUUCUAAGCGAAUAAGUAAAUAAUAUAUAAGACAAACAACACGUAGUCUGCCAUACGCAGGAAGACCCGCUGAACUGAAGCAUCUCAUUAAGCGG
This 228-nucleotide ribosomal RNA is filed under the name Trichomonas vaginalis G3. RNAcentral describes it as "5.8S ribosomal RNA". Lineage: Eukaryota; Parabasalia; Trichomonadida; Trichomonadidae. The record is from RNAcentral.